ACUACCAUUACAUGUUUACAUCUAAACAUGUUUAAUAUUAUGUUUAACAACUAAACACUUCGGUCAAAAGUAUUUAAUACCUAAACACGUUUAGAAAUUAAACACGUGUUUCAUUCUUCAGUCAGUGAAAUACGGAGUUGUCUUCCCGGAAAUGAUCGAGAUAUAUUCAAACAUGAAUUAGCGCGGCUGUCGAACAAAGAAAAUCACAGCAUUAAGAAAAAAACGUUUAUCCUAUCAAAAUGAUAGAAAUUCAAGAUACUGUUGCAGAUUAAGUGAUAUACACGAGGGAUGCUUCGUGAAAACUUUGAUUUAGAAGAGAAAAAUGGUGAGGUUGAUAUUUAAGAAAGACCACACAGAAAAAACAUAUACCUCCAGCAGAAAGGCUAGGGACCAAAGAAUCACUGGAUUUGAUCAUUGGUACAUGUACAAGAAAAACAACAUUUUACUUAAAGCAAGAAACGUAAGGAUCCAGCAAAGUUGAUGAUCAUCACAGAGAAAAGAAUAGCAUUAUGAACACAAUUAUUGGAAGAGGACUGGAGAUAAUGGGGUCUACUAACUUAAACUCGCUAAACCGGGGCCUUUGUUGUGUUACAAAGCUCGGGACUUGAGAUAUCCCAAAUACUUUCAAAUUCUG
Long non-coding RNA from Saccostrea cuccullata (small rock oyster), 634 nucleotides. RefSeq lists it as uncharacterized. Lineage: Eukaryota; Metazoa; Mollusca; Bivalvia; Ostreida; Ostreidae. The transcript is spliced from 3 exons. The record is from RefSeq and is a predicted model, not a curated record.